This 403-nucleotide ribosomal RNA is filed under the name uncultured bacterium. Its description in RNAcentral is "partial 16S ribosomal RNA". It matches the Rfam family "Bacterial small subunit ribosomal RNA", at positions 29 to 526 of the family's 1533-position model. The record is from RNAcentral.
AGUGAACGCUGGCGGCGUGCCUAAUACAUGCAAGUCGAACGCAGUGGGGACGGGUGAGUAACACGUGGGUAACCUCCCAUCAGAGGGGAUAACACUUGGAAACAGGUGCUAAACCGAUACUGAUGGAUGGACCCGCGGUGCAUUAGCUAGUUGGUGAGGGAACGGCUCACCAAGGCCACGAGGCAUAGCCGACCGGGGAGGGUGAUCGGCCACACUGGGACUUGGACACGGCCCAGACUCCUACGGGAGGCAGCAGUAGGGAAUCUUCGGCAAUGGACGAAAGUCUUACCGAGCAACGCCGCGUGAGUGAAGAAGGUUUUCGGAUCGUAAAACUCUGUUGUAAGAGAAGCGGUAUCUAACCAGAAAGCCACGGCUAACUACGUGCCAGCAGCCGCGGUAAUUC